CCCCAACGAGACUAUUUAGUUAACCCAUUUCAGGUUGUUUAGAUCCACAUAAUUUG
Molecule: transfer RNA, 56 nt
Filed under: Arachniodes aristata (Indian holly fern)
Lineage: Eukaryota; Viridiplantae; Streptophyta; Polypodiopsida; Polypodiales; Dryopteridaceae
Description: partial tRNA-Leu
Source: RNAcentral